Molecule: ribosomal RNA, 253 nt
Filed under: uncultured bacterium
Lineage: Bacteria
Description: partial 16S ribosomal RNA
Rfam family: Bacterial small subunit ribosomal RNA
Source: RNAcentral
UACGGAGGGUGCGAGCGUUGUCCGGAAUCACUGGGCGUAAAGGGCGCGUAGGCGGCCUGAUAAGUAGGGGGUGAAAUCCCUCGGCUUAACCGGGGAACUGCGUCUGAUACUGGAUGGCUUGAAUCCGGGAGAGGGAUGCGGAAUUCCAGGUGUAGCGGUGAAAUGCGUAGAUAUCUGGAGGAACACCGGUGGCGAAGGCGGCAUCCUGGACCGGCAUUGACGCUGAGGAGCGAAAGCCAGGGGAGCAAACGGG